RNAcentral lists this ribosomal RNA (522 nucleotides) under uncultured bacterium. RNAcentral's name for it is "bacterial SSU rRNA". It matches the Rfam family "Bacterial small subunit ribosomal RNA", at positions 777 to 1297 of the family's 1533-position model. The record is from RNAcentral.
AAUAGAUACCCGGGUAGUCCACGCCGUAAACGAUGAGUGCUAAGUGUUAGGGGGUUUCCGCCCCUUAGUGCUGCAGCUAACGCAUUAAGCACUCCGCCUGGGGAGUACGGCCGCAAGGCUGAAACUCAAAGGAAUUGACGGGGGCCCGCACAAGCGGUGGAGCAUGUGGUUUAAUUCGAAGCAACGCGAAGAACCUUACCAGGUCUUGACAUCCUCUGACAACUCUAGAGAUAGAGCGUUCCCCUUCGGGGGACAGAGUGACAGGUGGUGCAUGGUUGUCGUCAGCUCGUGUCGUGAGAUGUUGGGUUAAGUCCCGCAACGAGCGCAACCCUUGAUCUUAGUUGCCAGCAUUCAGUUGGGCACUCUAAGGUGACUGCCGGUGACAAACCGGAGGAAGGUGGGGAUGACGUCAAAUCAUCAUGCCCCUUAUGACCUGGGCUACACACGUGCUACAAUGGACGGUACAAAGAGUCGCAAGACCGCGAGGUGGAGCUAAUCUCAUAAAACCGUUCUCAGUUCGGA